Molecule: long non-coding RNA, 1325 nt
Organism: Mauremys reevesii (Reeves's turtle)
Lineage: Eukaryota; Metazoa; Chordata; Testudines; Geoemydidae
Exons: 3
Source: RefSeq, a predicted model, not a curated record
UGUGGUUGGAAGCUUGAAGCUCCCCUACAACGUGAACUGUUGCUUCAGAGUCUGCCUGAUUCCACUAAUUCUAGGGAUCCUCCCAUAGCAAGUACCCCAGCCUUCAUUGCUCUGGAGCCGGGGAAGGGGGAUAUGCUUCCUUCAUGCGUGGAUUCUGGAACCAGUGCCGUGCAGCAUGCCUCAGGAGAGGCACAACGUGUGCAGCGCUGGCUACAAAGAUGUUGCACGUGACUGGAAGUGAAACCAAAUGUGGAAGAUGAAGAGGAGUGUCGAAAAUCACAGAGUAUCUGCAACUCCAAUGCUACCAGCAGUCAGUAUAAACUGGAUGUGUCCUGGCGUUCUCUGCAAUUGGAAAGGAGAAGGGAAAACCAGCUGCAGCCUACAGACUGCCGCAGCAUUCCAGGCAGUCUGCCAGCAUGGCCUGGCUGGCUGUGAUCCAUGAGGUCACAAAGGCAUUAAUCAAAGUCUGAGCAGUGGUUGUGUCCAAAAAAAGGUGGUUUCAUAUAAGAUGUUAAGGCCAAAGAAAGUGACUUGUUUUGUCUUAAGGAAAAGUCACGGUAGCAGAGCAGAAAUGAGCCACAAAUGAAGAUGGGGGAAUAAGGUUGCUAUAACCAGCUGGAAACAAGUGGUAGCUGUAAAACAGAUGACCAUUGACCAUUGUAAAACAGACAACUGGUCAUCUAUCAGUCAGCUUUUGUUGACUGACAGAGCUUUAGCAAAAUUACUUAAUUCUUCUUGGUCUAUUGAAGAAGUAGAUGUCAUUGAGUUCAUAGCCUGCCGGGGCAGUGGGCCCCAAAACUCAAGGGAACUUUACAGUCAGAAGCAGCAGCAUCUUAAAUACACCAGGGAAAUUAGGAUUGUGGCAGUGUCCAGACAUCCCAGAAGGAGAACAUGGUGUAUGAACCCCCAAAGAAUAAGCUACAGAAUCAAUUGUGUACAAUAAUAUUGUACACCAAAAGUGUAUUGAGUAAGGUAUCCUACUAAGGCUGGUGACAUGCUGAUCACGAAUAUCAUUGUCAUGUACGUGUAAGUUUGUAUGUAUAACAAAUUAGGUAUGUGUGCUGGAAAGAAGUUGUUAAAAUGAUUCAUGCACUGCCUCCAAAAUGCUAGUCUGCCCUAGACAAAGGAUUUACAUGUCUGAUGGGCUUGAUAACAGGUAGAGUAAGUUAAACAAAGCAAUCCAGCUAACAAGUGACAGAGGAAACAAUGUAAUAAGCACCCAGGGGAGAGAGGCUCUGCACCCUCAGGAAGUCUUCCUGACUCUUGAUAUAAAGAUAAUGGACUUGGUUUUUUUGCUCCCUCUUAUCUUCUCCAUCCCUUCUGGG